AUUGAACGCUGGCGGCAUGCCUUACACAUGCAAGUCGAACGGCAGCGCGGGGCAACCUGGCGGCGAGUGGCGAACGGGUGAGUAACAUAUCGGAACAUACCCUAGAGUGGGGGAUAACGUAGCGAAAGUUACGCUAAUACCGCAUACGCACUAAGGUGGAAAGUGGGGGAUCUUCGGACCUCAUGCUCAUGGAGUGGCCGAUAUCUGAUUAGCUAGUUGGUGAGGUAAAGGCUCACCAAGGCGACGAUCAGUAGCUGGUUUGAGGAG
This 267-nucleotide ribosomal RNA is filed under the name uncultured bacterium. RNAcentral's name for it is "partial 16S ribosomal RNA". It matches the Rfam family "Bacterial small subunit ribosomal RNA", at positions 30 to 299 of the family's 1533-position model. The record is from RNAcentral.